This 36359-nucleotide long non-coding RNA is filed under the name Coffea arabica (coffee). Its description in RNAcentral is "long non-coding RNA (CARA_LNC003240)". The record is from RNAcentral. Lineage: Eukaryota; Viridiplantae; Streptophyta; Magnoliopsida; Gentianales; Rubiaceae.
UACGGGGGACUAAUGUUCGUGACUCAAUUUUCCCUUUUAAUAGAGGGAAUACGAGCGUGCUAAGGCUAGAAAGCCAAACUCAUCCAUAUCCCAUAUUCAAGGGGUAUUUCCUAAUCUAAUCAAGCAAAUGCACUACCCUAGUUCUAAUGCUUAUAUGAAAUGCAAGUCUAAUGUCAUGUUUCCAUACAAAGGGGUGAAGAAUAUACAUAUACAAGGGGAAAUAUGGAAUAGGGGAUAUAAAUAGGAAGUAAUAUGGGAUAAAAAAAAUGUAUAUAUAAGAAAAGUGUCAUGCAACAUGGAAAAGACCCUAAAAAGCGAAACAUGCAUGAGAUGAAGUGAUUUUAUCACACAAUCAUGAUCUAACGCUCGAGGGGCUCCUAAGGGUCUAGCGUUGGACUAGCACAUGCUACAAUUUCCCACUAGCAUUGGACUAGUGAGAAAAAUCAGAACAAAGGGCCACAACUAGCGUUGGACUAGUGUGGAUUCGAGAAAUUGACCACAACUAGCAUUGGACUAGUGUGGUGACGUCACACAUUGGUUACAAUCAAAUAAAUCAUGUAAGACCUAAUAAAAGCAUGUAAACACAUAAAUCACAUAUAGCACAUAACACAUAAGCAUGAUAUCUAGAUGGAAGACCCUAAGAAAGCGAUAACACAUAGCACAUAGAUAUGCAAAACACACAUCAAGCAAAGAAAGCAAACCAAACCUAUCUAUUACAUUGGGGGGACGCCCUACUACAAUCUAAUGGGGGAUGAAUAAAAAGAAAAUAAUAAGCGAAUAAACCCCUAACUAUUACAACUCGGCAUUUAAAUGCCCUUCCAAAUAAUCAAAAAUUAAAAUGAAAUAAAUAUACUAAAUUAAAACAAAUAAAGCGAAUAAAUAAAUAAAUAAAAUGAAAACAUUUAAAAGGCAUGCAAUCAAGCACAUAAAGUCACGUAAGUGCGCACAUAGGAUCAAAUAAAGCAAAAAUAAGGGAUAGAGUGUACCUCGCUUGAGUUGGAGCCCUAAUGGAGUGAAAUUACUUAUUUACCCUCCAAAAUAAAAGAAAAGGUCAAGGCAUCACUUUAAGCAAGCAAUUACAUGAAAUAAACAUUAAAUAUGAAAAAUGAAAAUUAAUCACUAAAUUGAGUCAAUUAAAGUAUUUACAUAAAACAAAACAUCCAUAUGCAAGAAAUUAAAGCAACAAGGACCCAAUUAAAAAAAUCAAAAAGUUUGAAAGGGCCUAAAAUAAAAUACUAGAAUUUAUGGCUUAAGAUGAGACCUAUCAAUGCUAAAACUUCACAAAAGAUUAAUGAAAAACUCAUUUGUUGUGGUUAAACAACAAAAUUAGCUAAGGUUUUAAGCAAAUGGAAAUCGAAACUAUAAUUCUUCAAAAUCAUUAACUUUUCACUAUUUCAUCCUAAAAAUCAUAAAGAAUCUAUCCAAGAAUCAUGUUAAGACAUGUUAAAGAAAAAAGGCAUGUUUGGAGGGAUACAAUCGAUUAAAUUAUUCAACUAAUUGGGCCAAAAUCGCAUUAGCUAAAAACCCAAGGGACUAGAAUGCAAUUCCUGGAAGAUUUUCAUGCAGUUAGCAUGCAAAUGUUACGGAGAAGGCUUCUGCAACAACAAACUAUCAGCACCUUCGUUCAAAUGUGGAUUCCAGACAAACUUUGAUUAAAACCUUUUCAUCUAAACUUCAAAACUUAAAUUAAGCAACAAGACACAUAUCUUUCACAUCCAAACAAGCAAAGCUUAGAAGGAAAUUAUGCAAGUUCUUAAGAAUCUUUCUUUUCUACACCAUUCCAGCUGCAACUUUCUUAGGCAAUCAGAAAUUUGUUUUCAGCAAGCAUUCGAUCCUGACUCAAGUGUUUUUUUGGACCCCAAACACGUAAAACUCAGCACCAGCGAUUCAACUUUCUCUUCACAAGAUUAAGCAUGCAACUUAAGUGCAAAAAUUCAAUGAGCAGCCACGGAGAAGGAAAUAGCACAGAAGGAUGCAGCAGCUUUUGCCGUAUACAUUUGGGCAUGACUACCGUUCACCCGUAACUUCCUUUCCAUUUCAUCAAGCAAACAAGCUCACCAACUACCAGGAUUAUCGACUCAAUCAAACACGAACUUUUUGUUGCAAGAUUAAGGUGGAAAAUCUGGUUUGACCGAUAACAAAAGAAAGAAAAGAAAAUGCAGCAAGAGAUUCUGCAACAACACAAGCAAGCUGCUGCGUUUUUUGUUUCACUUGGCCGAGACAUAUCUAUGCAAAGCAACCCAAGAAAAUUCCAACGAAUUUGGUAAUUCACAAGUUCGACUGGAUAUUAAAAUGAAAUGCAGUAAAGACGCUAGGGAAGGGACUUGCGGUGAACACACACACAGUAUGUCAAUGAAAUACAAGAACAAAGAAUAGACUUUGGUCUGUGAAAUGCAAGUGAACGCAGGUAAACAUCAGACUGUCUCUCAUCCUUUGACCACAUUCGCUGGUCCUGAGUUUCAUAGUUUUCAUGUCAAAGAGACUCAAACAAACACCAAACUUUACUCUAGCAAUCAAGACACCCCAUAAUAAUUCAACAUCCAAGCAUGAAUAAGAACCCAGAAUUUCUGGUUACACCGAAUAGAUGUUAUACGGAAUGGGAGGAGUUGAAGACUACCUGUUUACCGCCUUUGGGCUCGAAACUCCAACCUGGGUUCGAUGAAGAUAUCACUGCAGAUUCUGAUGAAGAAAUCUUCCUGGGUUUUCAGCCUUUCCCACGUUCUUUCUCGGAUCUAUUGGCUCCUCCCUCUCCCACGGAUUUUCUUUUUCUUUUCUCCCCGCGACUGAAACCCUUUUCUCCUUUCUUUCUUGUUCCCCGCAGAUCCUUUCUCAAUCUCCUAUCUCUCUUUCUUCCUCUCUUUUCCGGCCAUCCCAUCGCCCUUUCCUUUCUGGCUUUCCCAAACUCUCAGAUGGAACCCUCAGCUCUCGUUUCUUUCGAGCCUUUUCUUGCCCGUUUGGUUUUCCCUUUUCCUCUGUCCAGAAAACCUCCUUGUUCCAGCCGUUAGCUCCUCCUCUCAAAACCCUCCUCAACCGUCACCAGAUUUCCUCUGUUUCUAUUUUUCAGAUUUUCAACCGUCACUAGAUGCUCCGCCGUCACCCCAAUCUUGCUCACUGAUUUUUUCUCCCUCAGUUCCUUUCCUUAGCCGCCGCCCACAUAUCCUUUCUACCCCUUUUUCUCCCCCUAAUCUUCUGUCCGCUCUUUCUUUUAUACCCCAUGAAAACCUUAAACCCUCACAUCAAGGGUUGGUAAAAAACUUCAGCUCACCUCCUCCCUCUAGCCAUCCGAUUGGCUUUCCUCUCAAACCUUCUUUAUUUCGGAUGAAGCCAGGUGGAAUCGAUUAAAAGAUCCAGUGGUGGAAGAGAGAAAUGGAGCUGUGAUGCCUUUCCUCUGUACUCCCGUGCAUGAUUUUGCUUCCGAUAUAAGGCAAAGGCUUGGAUUAAGUGCAACUCACAGGCGUGAGCUUGCUCUCCCUUUUUUUUUUUAAUAAUAAUAAUUUAAUGAAAAUAAUAUAAACAAAAAUAACAUUUUAAGUAACAAUCAAAUACAACGAUCAAAACCAAGAAUAAAAAAUAAAAACAAAAUGUUAAAAAACUUUUGUGUUUGAUUGAUAAAUUUUCUUUUUUUUUUGAAUUAAUUAAUAAUAAUAAAACAAUUUUCUUAAUAGAAAUAAAAAUAAAAAUGAGCAAAAAACAAAAUUAAAACCAAAUCAACUAAAUAAAUAAAAAUAAAAAUAAAGUAAAAUAAGAUAGAAAGUUAAAAUUUUGGUGUCUACACCUGCCCAGCUCUCGCCGGGACUCAGUCGUUCACUAAAGUUCUCAAUUAAAUUACAAGAUAUAUCUCAAAUUUACAUCAAAUUCUCCAAGAAUUACAUAUCACAAACGCAGCUGAAACUAAUUCCCAAACGUGGAAUGUACACGUACAUCCAUUCAAGUCCAAACAUUCAUACAAACCCAACUAUUACACAAGAGAAAUCUAAAACUCAAACUAUACAGGAGAUAAUCCAUCCAGCCACAUGAAUAAGUACUACAAGCACUUCCUUUGCCUCGAGCCCUAUGGAGGUGAAUAAACAUUUUUGGGGUGAGCUAGAAGCUCAGGGAGUAACCAGUCAAAAUCAGUUUCAUAAUAGUUCAUUUCAAUGAUGUCAUGAAUCAGUAAUCAAAUGUACGUUUAUUGCUCUCGUGAGCCAGUGAAAUAAUAGUACUUAGACGGCCAACGCUCAAGUUGAUCAGUUAACAAUAAACAGUGAAACAGGAAUAGGGAUCCAUUUGCUCCAGAUAAACAGUAAACCGUGGUGGAGACGUUGGUUCUAAGCCCAAGACUUCCCAAGAACUCAUUUAAGCCAAAUCAUGUCAUGAACUCACAUGCAAGCACACAUGAUAUGCAAUCGAGUAAAUAAUGCAAGAAACAAUUCAUAAGUAGCUUUGGAAACAGUUUGGGGUCACUCACCUUCACGGCUUAGGAACCAUCCAUCAUAUAUCAUUGCCUUGGCCAAAUCCAAGCCCUUCAACUCAAACUCAAAGUAAUCAAAUGCUUUCAAAGAUAAGACAGCAUAUCCCCUUAAUUUCCUUACUUUUCCAUCCUACAAGCAACACCAUUUCAUCUCAAAUCAACCACAUACACAUCAUAGACUAUCAAAUACACCUUUCGGUACAAUAUCCAUAACUGAAGCUACACUUAUCGGAUUGAAAUGAAUCUUAUGGUGUUUCGACGCCAAGACAUAACCCUACAUUUCUUAUGAAAACCUCCAAAGCCAAAUCAUGCAUUUUCAGGGUCAAAAAAAGAAGUUUCCACGAAAACAGAAAUCUGGGCGCGAAACAGGGUUCAUGGACAGUCAAGGUUAUUUCGUUCAUUUUACAGGAUACAGUGCUCGGAUUGAGCUGAAAUUUUUCACACAACUAGUUAACACCAUUUGCUAAAACUUUCAUGUUUUAACCUAAGCCUGAUUCGGUAUCUAACAUGCCCAAAUAAAUCCGGCCAGAACAGCGCAAAUGUAAACCCUAAACCUGGAAUUUCCGCACAAAACUGAAAUUUUCCGCAAAUAACCGCAAUUAACGCACAAGAGAGCUAUUUAACACCAUUUAGAACCAUCAAUUCAAGGCUAACCAUAUCCAUCAUAGGAAAAUAGAGAAAUCCCAAAAAAAAUAGAAAUUUAACUAACUUCACUUUAAUCCAAGAAAUCUUCCAUAAAAUCACCUCUUAAGCCAACACAAGUCAAUAAUAAACCAGUGUUAAGAACAAAGAAUGGAUUGCUAGACAUGAUACCUUGAAAUCUCAAGAAAGGUGAUGGCUUAGAGUUCUUCUUCCCAAAUUAGCUUCACAAACACCUUGGAAUCUCCUUAGUAAACAACUUUUAUGGAGUAAUUUGCAAUUCUAUCGGUUAGAACUCAAGAUUGGAGUAAGAAAUUGGAGUGAAAGAUGAAGAUUUUUCUCUCUCUCAUGCUCUCAAAGUUUCUGCCAUAAGAAGGAGAAAAUGGCUUGAUUUUUGGUCAAAUUUUGGUUUUAGUAAAGUUGAGGUAAGAUGGUCAAAAGUCCAACUUGAAUCACAAAGUGACACUUGUCACCUCUUUAAUGCAUAGCUAUCCUUUUGUCUCUCCAACACCUAUCCAUAUGGGUAACCUCUAAUUAUCUCUUAACACCUAGUAUAUUAAUCCCAGUAUACAAAACAUAACCUAAUUGGUCGAAUUUAUCGAACUUAACGCCACUAGCGGGUCCCACGUCCAAUAUACACUCUUUAUUUCUCAUGAACUAAUUUAUACUAGAAAAAUGAUUGGAAAACUAUAUUCAUUUAUAAAAGUCUCUGGAAAAUUUUGAUAAUAAAAUAAAGUAAGAAAAAUGCACGCGGAAAAAUAAAUAAAUAAAUAAAGAAAAUUUCCCAUUUCUUUUCUUUCGGGCGUCACAGACUCCCCCCCUCCCUUAAAAGUAUGUCGUCCUCGAUAUUCCAACUCAUACUAAUCAAGUCAAGAAAUCCCUCAAAAGUCAAACUAGCAUUUCCAAGCAAGCACGAAGAGUUACUUUAAUCCCACUUGUCAGAUUUUCAUUCCUACAAGAAAUCACUGAUAUGUCAAACCAGACCCACAAUCCGGCAUCCUAAACUUUAAGCCCAGGAUACACUACAGAGAUCUGAAGCCUAAGCUCUGAUACCACCUGUGACAGCCCCACCUCACCCUAAGGUGAACCAAAGGGUUCGGCGGGCCGCCUGCCCAGCUCUCGCCGGGACUCAGUCGUUCACUACAGUCCUCAAUUAAAUUACAAGAUAUAUCUCAAAUUUAUAUCAAAUUCUCCAAGAAUUACAUAUCACAAACGCAGAUGAAACUAAUUCCCAAGCGUGGAAUGUACACGUACAUCCAUUCAAGUCCAAACAUUCAUACAAACCCAACUAUUACACAAGAAAAAUCUAAAAAUCAAACUAUACAGGAGAUAAUCCAUCCAGCCACAUGAAUAAGUACUACAAGCACUUCCUUUGCCUCGAGCCCCACUACAAGAAAAAAGGUCAUUAGUGACAACAUUUCUUUGUGACGACAAAAAGUUGUCACAAAAUGAGGUUGUUUAGUCACGACUUUGAAGGUUGUCACAAUUGACUCAAAGCAACUGAGUUUUCAGUGACAACCUUUAAUUAUCGUCACAAAACUAUUUCGCGCCAUAGGACUUGGAUGGCGCGAGAUUUGCGAUAGUGACGACUUGAUAAAUGUUGUCUGUAAUUCUACCGCUUUUUUUGACAACUUUUCAUUGUUGUCACUGUUUAUGUUUACUGACGACAAAUUUUUGUCAGUAAAACUAUAGCGUAGUUAGUGACAACAUAAGUAUCAUCACUAACUUGAACAUCUCUAAUGCAUUUAUUUAAUUGUGAGCCUCAAUAUUAAUUUAAUUUUUUUAAAAUUUGAUGAUUUAUUAACUAUGACUUUAUUUAAUUGUGAGCCUCAAUAUUAAUUUAAUUUUUUUUAAAAUUUGAUGAUUUAUUAAACUAGUCAUAGUUACUUAAAUAUUAAUUUAAUUUUUUAAAAAUUUGAUGAUUUAUUAAACUAGUCAUAGUUACUCAAUAGGUUUUUAACUGAAAAAAAUUAAUGAAAGUUUCUAAUUAGAACAACUAUAUAAACUAUUACAACUUGAGAAAUAAUAUAUUUACUAGUUCUUUGAAUUUAGCAAAAAAUUUUCAUCCAUUAUAAUUGUUUGAUAAAUAUGUUAAGAAGUAGUGAUUAGAAAUACAUUAGUAAAUUUAAUUAAAAUUUGAAGCUAAAAAUUCACUUGUAAUAUUAAUAUCGGAUCAACUGUUUGAUGUCAUAAAAAAUUAACUAUUUGAAGCAGAUCCAAGGUGCAUUUACCGCUUGUAAUAUUUCAAUAUAAUUUUCUCAUCCAUUAUGAAUAUUUUUACAAAAAUAUUUAAAAGUAGCAAGUAAUAUUAUAUUAGUAAAAUAUUAAUUCAACUAAAAUGUUGGAAACUAAAAAACGUUGAUUGAAAUUUUGGUACUGAACAAGGGGGAAAUCUAAGGAAUUGAAAUUUCAUUCAAAGUCAAUAUUUUGAGGAGAGGCGCGGAAACACUUAGAACACUUAGAACGAAAUAGCCAACACUACCAGUAUCCUAAAGCCAACACUACCAGUAUCACCGAACAAAACACACACUAUCAGUAUCCUAAAGCCAACAGCUAACACUUAGAACCAACCGUAGCACACUGCUCCUCGCCAUCUCCUUGCCGAAACAUCUCCUCGCCCGUCUCCUCGCCAUCUCCUAAUUGAUGUUGGCUCGGAAAUGAUCAAAUAGAAGACCACAUUUAGCAGCAACUCUCUACCAAAAAAGGUAUGCCGAUUCUCUUUUUCCUCCCUAAUUUUCCCCCAAAAUGUUUUGCCCUAAUUUUUUUUUCCCAAAAAUUUCAGUCCAGUUUUUUGGGUUUCAUUUGAUUUAUGGAUGGAGUCAUCUCCUCCUUUUGGAUUCUACUUACUUGUGGGUUUUACCCUUGUUAAUUUUUUGUCAACAUUUUAUUUCGGGUAUGUAUGGGUUCAUAACAGCCUCCUAACAUAUAGGCUGUGGCUACACAGAUUUAGCCCUUUCCUGAUCCCUUGAAUUCCUCAACAAUUGUGGCUACAUAGGUUGUGGCUAAUUGAGAUUGUAGACGAGUUUGUGUUUUGCAUUGCACAUAGUAGAUUGAUAUAUAGCUAUCAUGCUAAUUGAGCUUGUAGACGAGGCUGUGUUUUGCAUUUUAAUUCCUAUUCGCAAGAGUAUAUUGAAACAAUAAAAGUUCUUGAUAUAUAGCUAUCAUGCUCUGUCCAUGGCAUGGGGCCUGAAGAAAAUUGAUAGAGAUGCUUUGAAUGUAUUUUGGACUUUCCUUCUUGUCCAGAUGGUAAAUAACAAUUUAUGGAUACUCGCACCAAGAAAAGGAAAAAGAAAGAAAAAAUGUCUUAUGUCUAGGACCCAUAAUAACUCAAUCACAGCAAAUGCUGGAUGAAGACUGUCCUUAUUGAGGAAAUAUUUCACUCGUUUUCUUCUUAUUUUUAUCUUGGAUUUGUGUAUCAAUUUGCUUUCAAAGCAAAUCCAGAUUAAAAAAAAUGGGAUGUUGACUUGUGGAAAAUGUGAACCAAUUAAUGUUGAAUAUUGAUUUGAGUCCCAUUUCGGAUGGUUUUGUUCCUAUCCAUUUAUUAUCAUCACUUUUUUUUUGGAAUAAAGCAAAGUGGUCAUAUUGUUGUGCUCACAUUAUAGUAUUAUACUUAACAAAUUUGAAAAUUAGAUAACCUUCAUUGAAGAUUUUAUAAAGUGGCUUUAUGGAAAAUUCUUAACAUUUAUAACUGCUAAAUGUUGUGGUGUCGUGAAGGCACCAAGUUACCACGUUACAACUGGUAAGUUUACUUAUGUAAGAUGUAAAUUCUGUUAAGAUAGUAGAUGAAUUUUCGAUAUCUUACCAUUAGUAUGGCGAGAUUUAGUACUUACAUACAUUUCAAAGGGUGCACAAUACAACUCUCACUGAAAAUUAAUCAAAACUGCUAAUCAUCUGACUGCAAAUUUUGGACCCAAAAGUAAAAUUGUAGACAACCUCAAACACGAGAGAAGAACAGAUAAGCAUGAAAACAUUAAGCGGGAACAAAAGAAAAAGAAAAAAAGAACUAGACAAACUACUAUCAAACUUUUGACUGGGGUAAAAACUUUAAUGGUGCCUUUUCCCUAAUUGGUCUUUCCAGGGCCUUAGAUAACAAUGGCCACUAAUUGCGCUAGUUUGUUAAUGUGAUCUUAGUGCUGUCCCCAAAAACCUCAACUGAGAUCUCACAAGGAGCUGAACUUGCCUAAUUAAAGUAAGGGUUAUUUAUUCAUUAGAUACUCAUUAAGAAAUAAUUCAAGUGUUAAAUUUUAGAAAAUUAAAGUUAAACAGAAAAAUGCAUAAAUAUAAAAGAAAAUAAUAAUUGUGAAUAUGUAUAUUCAGAUGAUAAAUAACAUGUGAUUAAAAUAUUUUAACUAGUGUUUAAUGAGAUAAGAACACCUUUUAAAAUAUUCUACCUAGACUUAAUUAAGAACUAAUAACUUUAGAGGGAUACCCUUUUUAAAAUUUUUAUACUGCUCCAGGUAAUGAUAGCCAUUGAUUGAACUGGUUGUUUGUUACUGUGAUCUCAGUGCCAUCCCAGGAAAUCUCCACUGAGAUCUAAUAAUUAAAUUUCUCCCCUGUCCUUUUCAUUUUGUUGUCUUCUUUAUGAACCAAAAGUUUGUUUCCUUUUUGACAAGAACGUCCAGGUGUAUUUGUGACAUGUUUGACAGUUAGUUUCCUUUUUGUAUUUAUGAACCAAAUGUGUAGUUGUGACAUGUUUGAAUUUACUAAUAGCUGUGUUGUAUUUUGUUUAAUUUUUAUUAUUGUUGUAUGGGAAGAUUAAUUUCCUGUAUUGAGCUUAAUUUCCUAUAUUUAUUAUAUGUGUUGUCUUUGUAGUAUCAUGGUUGCGUAUUUUUUUGUGUUAGGAUCAACAGUGCUUGUGAAAAAACAUGGAUAGGAGUUGGAUGACAAUUAAAGAUUACUUGCAUCCUAGAUAUUUGGCAGGAGUGAAAGAAUUCGUUGAAUUUGCUUAUUUAGGCAAGGAUCCCACAUAUAAGCUCCCUUGUCCAUGUAAAGGGUGCAACAACUUUGAGGAUCAAACUAUGGAGGUCAUGAAAAGUCAUUUGUGUGGGGGAAUUGUUGAGAGCUAUACUAGGUGGGUAUAUCAUGGUGAAAGGUUUGAAGAUUCUGAUGAGGAUAAAAAUGAUAACAUAGUUUUAGAUGAAGAAAACAGUGAGUCAGAUGAUAUUCAAGAAAUGUUAAAUGACGUUGGUACUGCAAACUUUGGCGAGAAUUGGAGAAAUUCGGGGGAACAUAAUAGGGAUAUACCAAAUAAGCAAGAGGGGGAAGCAAGUAAGUUUCUUAGAUUAUUAUCUGAAGCUGAAAAAAGUCUCUACCCGGGUUGUGAUAAGUACUCAAAACUUUCCUUUGUUGUCCAUAUCCUUCAUUUGAAAACUAUGAAUCGGUGGACUUGCAAAUCCAUCGAUAUGCUGCUGAAAUUCCUCAUUCAAGUCUUCCCCAUGGCAUCAAUUCCUAGCUCAUACUAUGAUGCAAAAAAUUUAAUUCGUGAGCUAGGACUCAAGUGUGAAAAAAUACAUGCAUGUGAAAAUGAUUGUGCACUUUAUUGGAAAGAAAAUGAAAGCCUCGAUCACUGCCCAAAUGAAAAAUGUAAAGCACCUCGUUAUAAAUCCCCGGGUUCUAAAAUUCCUAGAAAAGUGCUUCGCUAUUUCCCCUUAAAAUCAAGGUUGCAAAGACUAUUCAUAAACAAGGAGAUAGCUCAAGAUAUGAGGUGGCAUAAAGAGAGACGCAUUCCCAAGGAAAACACAAUGACACACCCUGCUGACUCAAUAGCUUGGAAGGAGUUUGAUAACAGUCACCCAUCUUUUGCCGAAGAUCCUCGUAAUGUUAGGUUGGGGCUUUCAACUGAUGGUUUCAAUCCCUAUGGAAACAUGAAUAAUGCAUAUAGUAUAUGGCCUGUAAUCCUUGUUCCUUACAAUCUACCACCUUGGAAAUGCUUAAAGGACCCUUUUUUCCUGUUAUCAAUGAUUAUUCCAGGUCCUAAGUGCAUAGGAAAUUAUAUGGAUAUAUUUUUUAGGCCUCUAAUUGAUGAGUUGAAAGAGUUUUUUGACACUGGCUUUGAGACUUAUGAUGCAGCCGUGGGAGAAAAAUUUAUGUUACGGGCUGCUCUAUUGUGGACUAUAAGUGAUUUUCCAGCAUAUGCCUAUUUGUCAGGGUGGAGUACGAAAGGUUAUAAGGCCUGUCCUAUUUGUUUAGAUGAUACAACCAGUGUAUAUCUGAGAAAUGGAUUAAAAUGUUGCUAUAUGGGGCACCGACGAUUUUUGCCAGCGGACCAUAAAUGGCGCAGAGAAAGAAAGUCAUUUGAUGGCAAGAGUGAUCUUAGACAGCCUGUUAGAACUUUAUCCGGUGAAGAAAUCUUUGAACAACUUCAAGAGUUUGAUCAAAUGGUGUUUGGUAAGGCACCUGAAUUGCUUAAAGAGAAGAAAAGAAAAUGCAUGCAAAAUCAGUCAAAUUGGUUGAAGAAAAGCAUUUUUUUUGAGCUGCCAUAUUGGAGUACUAACAAAAUUAGACACAACUUGGACAUUAUGCAUAUCGUGAAGAAUGUGUGUGAAAUUUUGUUGGCUACAGUGAUGGGUACGGGACACAAAAAUAGGGACACUUGGCAAGCUAGAGAGGAUUUGAAGGAAAUGAGAUUGAGGGAAGAAUUGCAUCUUCAAACUCAAGGGGAUUCAAAGGUGAUGCCCGCUGCAUGCUACACUCUUUCACGCAGCGAAAAACAAAAACUAUGCCAGUUUUUGAGCUCACUCAAGUUCCCCGAUGGAUUUGCCUCAAACAUAUCUCAUUGUGUUAAGCCAAAAGAGUGACAAAAUUUCAGGGAUGAAGAGUCAUGAUUAUCAUGUAUUCUUGCAACGUCUACUUCCAUUAGCAAUUAGAGGCAUGCUGCCAAAGGAUGUUUCCCAAACUUUGGUAGAACUAAGCAAUUUUUUUAGGAAAAUUUGUUCCAGGACUCUUUAUGUAGAUGAGUUAGAUGCACAGGAGAAAAACAUUGUUGUAAUACUCUGCAAACUUGAAAAAAUUUUCCCUCCAAAUUUCUUCUAUGUAAUGGUCCAUUUACCUGCUGAAGCAAAACUUGCUGGCCUAGCACAAUACCGGUGGAUGUUCCCAUUUGAGAGGUAGUGUAAAGGCUAUUUUAAGACUGAAUCUUCUUUUGCUUCAUAGGGUCGUACUGCUGUGACAUCUUAUGGCUGCAUUUUUGUGACACAGAAAAAUGGGUCAAUACAAAGGUUAUGUGCACAACAGAGCUCGACCGGAAGGCUGCAUUGUUGAGCGUUACUUGGAUGAUGAAUGUCUAACAUUCAUUUCUAGGUACUUGCACAAUGUUCCUACAAUAUUUAAUGAACCAGAAAGAAAUACCGAACGCUUUGAGGCUGCUGGAAAGUUGUCUAUUUUUUCUGGAAUGGCUCGGCCUUUUGGGGCAGCAACAUUUUGUUGCUUAAGUGAAUCAGAGUUGAUGAAAAUACAUUUAUUCAUCUUGAAAAAUUGUGAAGAAAUUGAUGAUUACAUAAGGUAAUAAAUUUAUUACCUUAUGUAUAUGAGAAGUGUUAUAUGUUUAGUCAAUUAUAGAACUAACCGUAGCACAUAGAUAACUAAUAAUACUAUUGUAUAGGAUGCACAAAGAAUUGCUUCAGCAGCAAAAUGUGUCGAAUGUAGAGCAGAUGCACGAUUUAGAGUUUCCAAAGUAGUUUGAAGAUCGUGUAAGUAUGGAACAAACUACUAGAAAACUUGUGGUAUUUAUAUAGUUGUUAAUUUGUUCAGUCAUUCUAAUUUCUUAUUUGGGUUAUAUAGGUCACUUACAUGCAUACACAAGGCAGAUGCUGUGAUGAAUUGUUGUCUUUGGCCAAAGGACUGGAUUUUAGAGUGAUCAAAUAUCCUGGUUGUAAUGUCAAUGGGUUUAGAUUUCAUACCAAAACACGUGAGGUAGACAGAAAAACCCAGAAUAGUGGCAUUAUGGUGAAGGGUGAGCAUGCUGAUGUAGAAAUAAACUUCUAUGGUGCUAUUAUACAUAUCUUAGAGGUUGAAUACUCCUUCAGUCAAAGCCAAGUAGUUCUGUUCAAGUGUGAUUGGUGGGACUUGAAAAAUAGCUCAUGUCUUAAAAUAGACAAACACAGUAAUCUAAGCAGCGUCAAUUUGUCAAAAAAAUGGUAUAUAGACCAGCCAUUUGUAUUCGCUUCCCAAGCCGAACAGGUCUUUUACGUAAAGGAUAUGAGGCUUGGAGGUGAUUGGCAUGUUGUCGAGUCAGUCUGUCCACGUUCAUCAUAUGCUGUUCUUGAAAAGGAUGAGGAUAAAUCAUGUGAAGAAGAAGAGGUUUACCAAGAAGAUUAUCUUGAAGACCUAAUUGGGGUUCAAGAGAAUGUCGAUUUGUCUAACUUGAAAAGAGGUGAUAUGCUAGCUGAUGAAGCUGUAGAAACUGGCAUCCUAAAUUCUGAUUCUUCAGCUAAACAUGCCAGAAAAAUGGAUGAUUUUUUUGUUGAUGAUGAUGAGAUUCAGCAAUUGAGCUCGAGUGAAGAUGAAAGUGAAAAAUUUGUAGAAAGUGAUGACUAUGAGUCUGACUAAACGAUGUUGUAAAUAACAUUUUCAGUUUCUAUUUAUAGUUACCAUGUAACUUUUAGUUCAAAUCAAGUGUAUUUCUUAUCUUGAAUUAUUUUUAGUCACUCUUAUCUUCUAAUUUGCAAUAUCUAUUGUAAAAUACAAGGCAUAUUAAUUAAGUUCCUCCUUCGGGUGAGCAUGCUGGUAAUUGUACCUUGUCCUGGCUUUUUAGACAUAUUUAGUCUAAAUGCAUGGCUGAUUGAUAUCUUUUUAUCAUGUAGUUACAUGGCUGGGCCAGGGAAGAAAGGAAAAUGUCCUAUGCGACCAACUCGAGGUGCUGAAAUACCUAAUGCAGCAGAAGCUAGAGAAAAAAUAGGUGAACAGGUGAUGAAAAUUGACUUUGCUAUGUACUUGUACCUUCACUUCUUUAUACCAUUGGUUUUAAACAAUUAAGCAUCUGCCCUGCUGUGUUUUUCUUACUUCACUAUAGCAAGUUGGUGGCCCAAAAGGUAGUCUGGCUAGCAAUGCCAAUAAUGGUGCUGAAUUUAGCCUAUCUAGAAAGUCAGUUCAAAUUCGCCUAUUUGAUGAGACUGAGGUUAGUUCUUACUUUUGGUAGUUGGCAAUAUUUGAAAAAUACAUUUCUAAUGUGUAGUUGGCUGGAUUUUAGGAUCCUACUACCUCAAAUGGUCGCAAAACUGCUACAGGAUCAUCAAGACAUGAGUUGACAACUCCUACAUCUAUUGAGCAGCAAAAUACUACUCCUACUUCAGUACAAGUCGGAUCUAACCAGUCCAUUGGUUGUGGAAGUGACCGGAAUAAUGAGAGCGAUGAUGUUCAACAGAAUGAUACCGGUAUAUGAGAUUUACUUGUAAUUUAUAUUACACAGCUAAUUUCAUUUCAGAUUUUUCCACUGACAUUCAUAACUGUGUACUAUGUUUUGGGUAGGUGGUAUCAAUGUAACUAGGAAAAGAGGAUAUACUCGCAAUAUUGCACUGUCCAAGGAAAAGAAGGCCGGCAAAAAGGUAAAAGUCCAGGUCUCUGAAGUUAGUGGAAGAGUAAUUGGAGAAGGGGCACAACAGUACAUCUCAGAGGCAAGUUGUGUCAUUCGUAAAUAUGACAAAUGGAAAGCAGAAAAAUGGUCCAAACUCCAAGAAUCUGAUAGAGAAGGAAUGCUAAAACUUGUUAAUGUAAGUGAAAUUGCUUUGAAGGCUUGUUUUUCUUCUUGACUUGGUAACAACUAGUUCUGCAACAGGUCAUUUAUGCACUUUUUCUGACAUUUACAAUAAAUUUUUUACUCAUAUUUCAGAAUAGUUUUGCUUAUGAUGAAGGAGAACAUGUUAAGCCAGCACUUCUUAAGCAGUUAAAUACACAGUACAGAAGUCGACGAUACAAUUUUCACAAGAUUUUCAAGAAAUUUAGUACAAAAGAGGAAGCACUUGCAAAUCGUCCACAAUAUGUUGAAGAAUCUGAUUGGAUUUACCUUUGUGACUAUUUCUGUAGUCCAAAUUUUAUGGUAUAGAGGCUGACUUUUGAUCAUUUACUAUUGUUCUUUCUCAUGUUUUUUGUGUGUUAAAUUUUGAUCAUGGCUGAACUUGAUAAGUGCAGAAGAUAAGUGAGAGGAACAAGAUCAAUAGAUCAAAGCAAAAAACUGCUCAUACAGCUGGAACAAAAUCCUUUCUUCGUCAUAAAGCUGACCGGGUAUUUGAUUAUCUUGAAGACAUGUCUUUUGGAUUGUUUAGGCAGGUUAUUUAACUUCUUAUUGUAACAGGAAGCACAAGAAGGGAGGGAAGUUGGACCAAUAGAACUUUAUGACAUCACCCAUUACAGCAAGAAGAAGAAUGCAAUGGUUGACGAAACAUCUGCUAUGAACUUAGUAAGAAAAAUGGAAUUGGUACUCUAAUAUUGUUGUACAACUCUUAUGAAAGUCUAACUUCAGAAUUUACCUUUGUGACAGAGCAUGAUGAAGGAGAAAAAGUUGGAAUCUGAAUCCAGUGGUGCAAAUAGGACUGAAGAAGACAUUUCCAUUGAAGUAACUGGACGUGUAACCGGAUACGUACAUGGCCGUGGUCCCUCCAAAGCUGGAAUAAUUGCCCAAAAGCUUGCAGAGAUAGAUGAUUUCAAGAAAAGAGCAGAACAAGCGGAGAAGCGCUCAGCUGAGUUGGAAAUAACAGUCCAAUCUCAACAACAACUUAUGGAGAAGCUUGUGAACCAGCAAAGUGAAAUGCAGAACCAACAAAGUGAAAUGCAGAACCAACAAAGUGAAAUGCAAGAUCUCCUUAAAUCUUUGAAAGCACAACUGCAAGCCAACAAGUAAGACGAUGAAGGCACAUCUGAACGAACUGAUUGGUAAGCAAUUUUCAACUAUAUAUACUUGUCUAAAUAGAUAUAAUGGCUGCUAUGGUUUAAAGUUAACAUAAGUUAUUGCAAAUUAGUUAUUGGUAGGUGACAAUAUUAACUUGUAAUAUCAAGAAUGAGGAGGGACAUUUAAGAAUUACUUCUGUCAACACAAGGUUCUAAUCAGAUGGUGUUUUGAUCCUGGGAGUACAUUUGUGGCUUUAUCAUAGCUUUGUUAUCAUGAAACAAUAACAUUACACAAAAAAAAGCUUCAAUAGUGUUUCUGUUUCAUGAUAUUAAUUUGAGGAGCACAGAAGGGCUAAAGAAUAGAAAAGAUUAUUAUUGUCAUUUGGCCAAUGAGUUAGCUAAAAACUUAAAAUAUUGUCAUGUUUAAGAUGUUUUAUGGUCAAGAUACAGAAACGCUUGCAUCUUGCAGGUUUCAAAGGUUCAUGGCAAUUCUGGACCUGUCUCUCCCUUUCAUUCUUGUGGGUGCCACUUAUUAUUCUCAGUGUUUUGAACACAAACUAGUGUAGUGUCUAUGUCACUACUGGUCGUUGUGGAGAGAGUAGGAAGAUUUGAUAUCUGCUUACUAAUUUAGGUUAGGAAUGAACAGCAAAAACAAAAUACUGAUUUAGCUUUUUGAAUACUUGCUAAACAUUAAUGUCAUGCAAUUUCCAGUUAAGCCUAAUGAUUUGCUAUGUGGUGUCCUGAUUCUAGUUUUUCUGUUUUGCAAUGACAUUUAGGCUUUAAAGCUCAGACGGAAAAUUUGAUGGCUCCUAAUUACCGCCUUUACUCUGGAAAAUCCUUUCUUUCUUGGUUGAAUUUUAUCAUGGCACUGUCUUCUUCAUUCCCUUUGUCUCUGCUGACCAAAGCUUCUGAUUUCUUGUUAGAAAUAUGCUGCAGAGAAUUUGCUGUUCUGUCUCAGACCCUUCGUUUCUGAAAUUAGCUCCUACUUAGUUGCCAAAAACUGUUGUUCUGAUGAUAUGUAAAGUUGCAGAUGGAAAUGGUAAAGUAAUUCAAGUAAAGAACUAAUUACUAGUAAAUUAGCAAACAUGAACCUGAAGAGGACCUAAUUGUAGCGUUGACAGAAUAACCAUCUUCAAGAAGCCUUUUGAUCAACCAUAAUGCCAAAAAGUCCAGUUCCACCUGUUACACAUACUCUCCCCUUCUCCAUCUUCUCCCCUUCCAUUAAUUUGUGUCCGUCUAGCCUUUAAUACCAGUAUAGUACUGUUUGGUCUCUCUGCAGUGGAUUGUCAGUUUCAACUUGAAGAAUUAAUGUAUUUCUAGUAUAGUAUUUCACUUGAAGAAUACCAAUAUAGUACAUGCGAAAUGUAUUUCCUUCAAGUAGUUAAAGGGAAUCUUCCUUGUUAGUUAGACUGUUGUGCUGAGUCAACAAUCAAGUAGUUAUUUUGUUAUUCUUGAGUUGUAUAAGAAUGCAGAAAUCUGGAUUGGGCAACAUGGAAAAAUCAUUUUGAAUAAUAUCUCUCUUUCUUCUUCCUCAAGUCUAGUUUCUCUCCCCCUUAUCACUCUAUUUCUACUGCAAUUGCUGCAUUCAUUACGGUGGUAUCAGAUUAGUGAAUGCUUGUUACUUUUGUUGUUUAUUUAGCAAUUAGAGACUGUUUUGCUUUUGUCACCUGAUAACUUUACUAAUAACUUUACUACUUUAUUGCAGAUAUAUUGCUCAUUUUGGAGGUUUCGAAGAAGAUUAGCAGUACAGCUUACAUGUCGACUCAAAAACUGUGGUUAUAGUGCUGUCUUAAGUUUAGAAAAUGUUUUAGAAGCGCAGGAAAUGUUUUGGGACUUGGAAUAUGUUUUUUAGUGCAGCCUUGACUUAUAUGAGUAGUAUUUGUUCUACUCAAACUUAUGAAAUUAUUUGUACUAUGAUGUUGCACUUAUUUAUGACAUUUGAAUAUUUAAUAUAUUAUUUUGGCAUAUUCUAUUGUAACGGGUGCCUACAUUUGUUAUUUAUUAAACAUUACUGAUAUUUUCAUUUUUUAGAUAUUAUUGUAGUAGGAAAGUCAUGUGUAAGGUGUUGUAAAUGAGUAGUAUUUUUCUAGGCAGGAUGUCUUUAUUGACAAUUGUUAUUGUCACUUAAUCAAAACUGUCUAUUGAUAAGGGAUUGUUGCCACGGUUGAUCAGGGGUUUAUUGACAACAAAGUUGUCACUAAUUCCCCUAUGCCCUCACUAUCGUCCCUUCAUGCAUCACUUGCAUCACUGACAAGAGAAGGUGUUGUCACUAGAUUUAUAGCUUUUACUGAUGACAUAUGUUGUCAUAAAAAGUUUCAUUCACUGACGACUCUAAGGUCGUCAUUGUAUACUUUCAUCUUUUACUGACGACAUAGAUUGUCAUAAAAAAGGUUAUAUUUACUGACGACUUUAAAGUUGUCACUGUAUACUUUUACCGACGGAGAUUCAGUGACGGCCUUGCGACAACUGAAAUGUUGUCAAUAAUGGUCAUCAGUGACGACUUUUUGAUUAUUUGUGACGAAAAGUAGUUAUCACUGAUGACCAAAAUUCUUGUAGUGCCCUAUGGAGGGGAAUAAAAUAUUUUUGAUGUGAGCUAGAAGCUCAGCGAGUAACCAGUCAAAAUCAGUUUCAUAAUAGUUCAUUUCAAUGAUGUCAUGAAUCAGUAAUCAAAUGUACGUUUAUUGCUCUCGUGAGCCAGUGAAAUCAUGGUACUUAGACGGCCAACGCUCAAGUUGAUCAGUUAACAAUAAACAGUGAAACAGGAAUAGGGAGCCAUUUGCUCUAGAUAAACAGUAAACCGUGGUGGAGACGUUGGUUCUAAGCCCAAGACUUCCCAAGAACUCAUUUAAGCCAAAUCAUGUCAUGAACUCACAUGCAAGCACACAUGAUAUGCAAUCGAGUAAAUAAUGCAAGAAACAAUUCAUAAGUAGCUUUGGAAACAGUUUGGGGUCACUCACCUCCACGGCUUAGGAACCAUCCAUCAUAUAUCAUUGCCUUGGCCAAAUCCAAGCCCUUCAACUCAAACUCAAAGUAAUCAAAUGCUUUCAAAGAUCAGACAGCAUAUCCCCUUAAUUUCCUUACUUUUCCAUCCUACAAGCAACACCAUUUCAUCUCAAAUCAACCACAUACACAUCAUAGACUAUCAAAUACACCUUUCGGUACAAUAUCCAUAACUGAAGCUACACUUAUCGGAUUGAAAUGAAUCUUAUGGAGUUUCGAAGCCAAGACAUAACCCUACAUUUCUUAUGAAGACCUCCAAAGCCAAAUCAUGCAUUUUCAGGGUCAAAAAAAGAAGUUUCCACGAAAACAGAAAUCUGGGCGCGAAACAGGGUUCAUGGACAGUCAAGGGUAUUUCGGUCAUUUCAUAGGAUACAGUUCUCGGAUUGAGAUGAAAUUUCGUAGGCAAAUAGUUAACUCCAUUUCCUAAAACUUUAAUGUUUUAACCUAAGCCUGAUUCGGUCUCUAGCAUGCCCAAAUAAAUCCGGCCAGAACAGGGCAAAUGUAAACCCUAAACCUGGAAUUUCCGCACAAAACUGAAAUUUUCCGCAAAUAACGGCAAUUAACGCACAAGAGAGCUAUUUAACACCAUUUAGAACCAUCAAUUCAAGGCUAACCAUAUCCAUCAUAGGAAAACAGAAAAUCCCAAAAAAAAUAGAAAUUUAACUAGCUUCACUUUAAUCCAAGAAAUCUUCCAUAAAAUCACCUCUUAAGCCAACACAGUCACUAAUAAACCAUUGUUAAGAACAAAGAAUGGAUUGCUAGACAUGAUACCUUGAAAUCUCAAGAAAGGUGAUGGCUUAGAGUUCUUCUUCCCAAAUUAGCUCCACAAACACCUUGGAAUCUCCUUAGUAAACAACUUUUGUGGAGUAAUUUGCAAUUCUAUCGGUUAUAACUCAAAAUUGGAGUAAGAAAUUGGAGUGAAAGAUGAAGAUUUUUCUCUCUCUCUUGCUCUCAAAGUUUCUGCCACAAGAAGGAGAAAAUGGCUUGAUUUUUGGUCAAAUUUUGGUUUUAGUAAAGUUGAGGUAAGAUGGUCAAAAGUCCAACUUGAAUCACAAAGUGACACUUGUCACCUCUUUAAUGCAUAGCUAUCCUUUUGUCUCUCCAACACCCAUCCAUAUGGGUAACCUCUAAUUAUCUCUUAACACCUAGUAUAUUAAUCCCGGUAUACAAAACAUAACCUAAUUGGUCGAAUUUAUCGAACUUAACGCCACUAGCGGGUCCCACGUCCAAUAUACACUCUUUAUUUCUCAUGAACUAAUUUCUACUAGAAAAAUGAUUGGAAAACUAUAUUCAUUUAUAAAAUUCUCUGGAAAAUUUUGAUAAUAAAAUAAAGUAAGAAAAAUGCACGCGGAAAAAUAAAUAAAUAAAGAAAGAAAUUUUCCCUUUUCUUUUCUUUCGGGCGUCACAAUUGUAGGUAGGGCUUUGAGGUUGUUCAUGCUUUUAAGACUAAUUGUUACCUUUUCACUCCGAGGUCACCUCUUCGCUUUGCAUUAAUGGUUCUUUUGACUAAGCAUAUGGCUCGUAACCGAGUCUCACUUGCAAAUUCUAUACUAGGUCUUGGAGUCGAGUCUUAAGUGUUUGCCUUGAUUGUUCUAGGAGGUGCUGACGAUUAAAGCCACACUUGGGAAUGAAACUUUUGAAGUUAUCCUUAUUUGAACUGGUGAGUGUACCACACCCUUGCAUGGUCGCUAUUUGAGUUAUCUGUACUUGAAAUCUAUGACAUGAAUGACUAUGAAUCCUGUUUAGUUUGAUUGAGACGAGAGUGUACUUUAUCACACUCGUUCUCUUGCAUGUGUUGUACAAGCUGAAAUCUAUUACUUGUACUUGUUAUGAACUUGAGCCUGUUACCUGCACUUGUUAUAAUGUCGUUUGGAAGUGUGUCCAACGACCUCCUUGUUAAACCUGAGCUCAAUCUCAUGGGGAGUUAAUUAAAUCGAGCCAUGCAAGGGCUUGGUCGAGGAAAUUGACAAUCCGUGGGUGCCUGUUUUUAUGGAAUCUUUGAGUAUUGAGACUCUUGAUUCCGGUAUACUCGAGUAUUACCAUUCCUAUUUCUUGUUUGGCGUUCGGGCCCGGUAAGGGGGUAUGAUUGGUGAACGGGAUUUGGCGUUAAAGUGGUGUUCUACUAGACUGGUUUCCUUAUUUGAAAGUUGACGGAGGGUCAACGUAGUCGGAUCAAGUACUGCAACGGGGAUUUGGCUCCUGAGAGCCACCUGUAUCCUUUCUAUCUAAGAUGUUUGGCUCAUCUCCUUAUUUGGUACACCUAUGUGAUUAAUUGAGCAUGAAGUUCCUUGGUUCUUGCCUGUUAUUAUUUUGGGUACCUCAUUGAGCGUAAGCUCACCCCCUUCCCGUUAUCUUUGUUUUCCUUAUAGGGAACAAACUAUGAACUCAUGGGUUUGGAAGAAAAGGGUCGAGCUAUUGUAUAUGAAAUUUUGUUAAGCUCUUUCGCAACCGAAACCUUAAUUGUAUUUUGAAUAGUAGGAAUACUUUGGCUUGUACUUUAGUUAAUUUGUUCAAGACUCUAAUGUAAAUAUAUGUAAGCAAGUAUUUAACCUUGUUUCUUAAUUGUAUUUGUUUGAGAUGCUAUGUUUUAUAGCUCUGGUGAAUGUUUAUGUCACUGUUGGGAAGAUCAGACGGGCGCGGCUUUUGAGUGAGGGAAGAAAGAAAAUUUUGGUGGUUACUGUUCAUUUUCGAUUCGUUUUUGUUUCCGUUUUCUUUCGUUGCAGUACUUAAUUAAAGCAUCAUUGUACCUGAAGGUUAGGAAUCAUGUCUCCAAUGUAAUAGUCGCCGAUGGAUUGUUUCUUGGGUUUCUAUCGUGCGUGCUCUAGGGUUUACAAGAUUUGACUCCGUAGUCCUGGCGAGAGUUGGGCAAGCGGUCCGCCGAAUCCUUUGGUUCGCCUUAGGGGAAGGUGGGGCCGUCACAGAAUCAGCCUUAGGAUAAAACAUGAAAGUUGUAGGAAAUGAAGUUUUAUAGUUUCCUGCAAAAUUUCAGCCCAAUCGGAGCAACAUAGCCUAUGAAAAGACCGAAAUACCCCUGCUGUCCUGUUUCUGUCCGAACCUGAUAAUCAGCUUCUGUAAUUGGCUAGUUUAACCGGGAAUACUACUGAUUUGGUUGUUGAUGUCUUCAUAAGAAUUAUAGCCUGGUAUCUUAGCUUUCAUAUGGCUUUGGAAUCACUUGAAUUGGAGUCGUAUGUGCUGAGAUAUGAUUGAAUGAAUCAGGACUGCUCAUUGAAUUUCACAGUAAGCUGCGAACUGGAAAAUCUGGGGUUGUUUUGGUAAAUUUGACCUAGAUACGUUGCAAACUGGACUGAGUGUCCUUCUUCAACAUUGUAACCCUUUCUAUUAGCUUCGAAACGGUGUAACUUGUACCCCAAACCGAUAAGUGUAGCUCCAGUUGUGACAGUUCCGCUAAGUAACGUCAAAACUGUCUUUUGCUUUUCAACUUAAACUUCAUUUCCGCACAUGUCCCUAGUUUGACCAUGCACUUAUACGUUAUUUUGGGCCUUAUUUUUGGUAGUGUGUGGGUUUGAUUUGACUCGUGUUCGAGUCUUAAUUGUGAUAUUCUUGUUGUAUAGGUCGUGCCGGUGACCCGGGACCUACGUCUGAAGCGAACUUGUGAAUUUGCUUACUUACCUUGGUGAGUGUACCAUUAUAUGGUCAACUGCUUAAAUGGUUGCUUAUACUUGUUAUGUGAACUUGAAUGGCUUGAAUGAGACGAGAGUGUAGUUUAUCGCUCUCGAUCUCUUAUCUGUAUUACUGUUACUGUCAAAAUGUGAAAUUGUCUACAUGUAUGAUUUGACAUGGCUGAGGGCUUUGCUCGACAACUUAACUAUGCUAUCUGAGCUCAUACCCCAUUGGUCUUUAAUCGAAUCGAGCGGGUAAAGGCUUGGGAGAAUCGAUAAGGGACCUUGGGUUCACUGCAGUCGAGUGGAGUGUUAACUCCUCGACCUUAUGGUAUACUCGAGUAUUACCCUCUCUGUUACUGUGAGGUGUUCGGGCCCGGUAAGGGGGUGAUCGGUGGAAGGGAUACGGAGUAAAGUAGGGAUCUACGGGAUGUUCUUCUCUUCAAAAGUUGACGGAGUGUCAACGGGUUGGAGAUCAAGUGCGGCCAGUGGAAAGUGGCUCUUGAGAGCCAAUUGUAUCCUUUCAUUGACUUGUUUUGUUUAUGAGCUUUGGAAUCACUAUGUGAUAAAAUGUGUUUAUUGGUGUGUCUUAUUGGUACCUCACGAGCAUAAACUCACCCUCGUUACUUUGUUUUCCUUACAGGGAUAUGAAUAACUUUUGAGGGAACUAUAUUGUUUUGAAGCACAAGUUGAGCUAGUUUUCAUAUAGUUUGAAUAUAUUCUUUUGUAAAGCUCCUCGAUGGUUGGAAAAACCCUAAAUGUACUUUGAUCUAAAUUUCUCCCUUUUGAUUUGUAAAUUACAAACGUAUGUGUAUCACACUGUUAAACCCUGUUCAUGUAUCCUAUGUGGUUUGGGAAUGUUUCUCCGAGGUAUAUGGUGAGAUCUACAUACAAUUGGAUUCUAGUUGGACGGUGAAGUGGAAGUCACUAUUCAUUUGCGAUUUUAAUUUUCGUUUCCCAUUUUACGAUUUUAAUCGCGUGAGCGCGCUAAUAUUUUCUGAAACAUUUUAGAUUAUAUACGACCGUCUUAGUAGUCCUGGCGAGAGUUGGGCAGGCAGUCCGCUAACCCCUUUGGUACGCCCUAGGGGAAGAUGGGGCUAUCACAGAUUAACCUUAAGUACAGGUGCAAAUAUAUUUUUAGUUGAGGUGGGCAAAAUUGAAACUAGAGUGCAAGUUGUAAAUUAACCCAAAACAAAUUAUUUGCAUGACGAUGUACAAUAGACAACAAUGCACAAUAUUUUUGUCCAAUAAAGAAAUGAAAUUACAUUAGAAAAGUGAUAGAAUGUAAUGGAGGGCAAAAAAUUUGAACUACUUGCAAAUUUCAAAAUUUUAUUUUAGGUUGAUCCUAAAUUAACGACAAUCAAGAAAUAAAUAUUGAACGCAAUAUAAUAAUAUCAAAAAAUUGUAAAACAAAUAUAUAUAUGUAUUUUUUGAACCAAGAUAUAGGGAUUUUGAUACUCAUAAAAGUUGAUGAAAUGAUUAACAUCUUCUAGGAUGAUCAAAGAAUGUGCAGAGCAAAUAAAAGAAAAUACCUAAAAAGCUAGGAUUGGAAAAGUAAAGAUCCAUAUCUGGUGGAAUGAUAUUCAUGUAGAAGUGAAAUAAUUGUUAGUAUGGAUUAUUACUAAUAACUCCAAACUUUUGUCAAUAAUAUCGUGUACCAAAUUUUAGUAUUUUUUCGUAAACCUGAUUUUUGGGAAAAAAAACCAAAAUUAGUAACUAAGUAGAAUGAUUAGAUUAAAAAAAAAAGAAAGGAAGAAGCAUGGUCAAUUUUGAUUGCAAACCAUAUAUUUCUUGCCAAAUUAUUUGAUGCAAUAUUCAACUCUUCCAACAUUUAAACAGAUGCAAAUUUCAACUCUUCCAAUAUUCAAAAAAUUUGUUUGUGAAGAAGCGCUGAGCUUCCCCGGAUCGAGCUGACCUGAUGAGCUCGGCGUGCUGAUGAGAAAAACGUGUCCAAGCCCUGCAAAAUAAAUGAGAAGAGGUCUAGAGGAUGACUAGCAGGGGAGCCCCGAGGUUGUCCCUGGGGGCACUCCGACGGUCAAGUUAGUCUUCCGGUGAGUGGAAUCCACGAGAAGUAAAACAGUUGGGGGUAAUUUGCCUACGGUGAGCGUACCUUGUGCAGUGGAUGUGCGUUACCAUUUAUACCUGCUGGUAAGUCCGACCUCCGUACGUUUCGGGACCUGCCCAGAAUAGUCUCAAUCCCGCGCCGAGGGGGAUCUUUCCCGCCCUCUGCGGGAUUGUUCUCUGGAACCCCUCGGAGCCCUAGCGGAGGUGUGCCUUAGGACAGUGGCCAUGGGCCUGGGGUCCGAGCCCAGCUCUGGCCUUCCUGGGCUGCCACGUGUCUCGGCCCAGGACGGGGUCUCUGCACUAGCCCCCUAAAUUAGGUAGGGCUUCCAGAAAGACUUAAUCUACGCCCCUGCCACGUGGGAGACCGGCGUCGCCCUGCUCUGCCAUGGCCACCUCAGGCACAGUGCAAUCACUGAAAAGAUGCGCUCGCGUCCUUUCGGUUGUCGCGUCUCCUCGGUUUCCGUACCGUUCUUAAAUGCGUUCACAUGGGGACGGUUCAAAUUCAAGCAGCCGUUUCCCCCCAUUUCACUCCCUAUAAAUAGGGACUGCCAGAUUUCCUUCCGACUCUAUUUGCCAUUUUCUUCUCUUCGCAUAUUUUCUUACUCCCGAAAUUUCCAACAGCAAGACUUUCGGCCUACAGUGUCCAGACUCCGGCGAUUCCUCCAUCUUUUCCCCAUUCUGUUCACCAGUAAGUCCUUUUUCCUCCUCCUUCGCACUUUCUUUUCCUCCUUUGCCACAUUCUGCAUUUUAUGUCGGAUCGUUCCGGCGUUACCUCCACCACAUCCCAGAUUCCAGCCCACCGUAGAGCCCCCAGAAUCCUCAUUUCUUCCUCGUCUUCGUCUUCAUCUUCAUCAUCUCCUCCUCCUCUUUCUUCUUCUUCUGAGCUUCCUAUACCCUCAAGCUCUCCCUUCCUGGGUGGUACUACUUCUCCCGCCGAACUGUUGGCAAAGUUCGGGGUGGGAAGGCACCCAGGAUCUGCUCUUCGGGGUCCCCUCUUCCGUGAAGAACUGGAAGGGGGAUUUCUUCUUUGUUAAGUCCACAAUUUUCCCCCUGAUGUGUGGAAGGUCGGGGAGGUCAAAGCCAACCCCUACCCGGAGGGCUUGGACUCCGAAGCCCUCAGCCAGCUGGUGAGCUCCAAGGUGAAGCUCUAUGCGGCCAAGUUCUCCACCGAGCAGAUUUCUGCGGCCGGGCUGAUGGGGACGUUGUCCGGGUACCCUGGAGAGGUGGUGCCCUCUCCUGCCGACCACGACGCCCGUAAUGCCGCCUCUGUGCUUAUGUAGUCCGCCGUUUGCUUCUUUCUUUCACUGUCCUGUUUGUGCUAACUUGGUGACAUUUGCUGCAGUGAGGAGGCUUUCCAAACUGUUGGGCGUGCCUUCCGAGCCGAUCACCCCGACUCCACAGCCAGAGGCCGCCCAGAAGACCUCCGAGGCCUCUCCGACUCCUGGGGGCAGCUCAGCUCCCCAGAAGGAGGCAUCCCAAUCUCAGUCCCCCUCCAAGCAGGUCACCAGCAAAAAGAAGGCGGCCGGGCAAAAGAGGGGCCGAGCUGUAUAUAGCUAGGUUUUCCUUUCCUUUUAUAGCUCGGUAGGCUUUGUAAUAGAUAGGUUGUUUAUACGUAAUUCGAAUGAAAGUUUUGCAAUUCUCGCCUGUGCCAAACUCUAGCAACCAAAGCGGUAUGCCGACCUCCUGGGUCGAGCACUAAAUUGAUCCAUUAAGGCAACGUGCCGACCUCCCGGGCAACGUGCCGACCUCUCUAAAAUAUCAUUCCACUGAGGCAACGUGCCGACCUCUCUAAAAUAUCAUUCCCUACAACUUUCAUGUUUUAACCCAAGGGCAAUUCGGCCUCUAACUAUGAGCUACAGUGCCGGGCAGAAUGUAAGAACAUGAAACCCUAACUUUCCAAAUUUCUUCCAAAACAGAAAUUUCCUGCAAUUAACCACUUUUUCCACCUUCUAGCUUCCUUAAAUAUCAUUUCCAAUCAUCAUACAUGAUUCCAUAAUAAUAAUCAUAUGAAAACAUAAAAAUCACCAAUAAUUAUAAAACUUCACAAAUUUCAUCCAAAAAUCACAAAUAACCACUAAAAUCAUCACUUAAGCUCACAUUAACCACUAAUUAAGCAUUAUUGAAGAGAGAAAAGGAGUUCCUCCACCACUCACCUUGUCAAGUCAAGAAAGAAGCAACUUAACACCUUAAGCUUCCAAACCACUUCACCACCAAGCUUAACUCCACCAAACUAAGAGGUUUUAUGGAGUAAUUGGAAGAUUAAUCGGUUUAAUUGAAAGAUUGGGCAAGAUUGAAGACAAGAUUGUGGAGAGUUUUCUUUUCUUUUGUUGCUUGAAGAGGCCGGCCAAGAGAGGGAGAAAAAUGGUGAAUUUUUGGUGAAUUUUGAUAUUAAUUUGGUAAAGGCAUGAAUAGUGGUCAAAAUGGCAAGAUUUAAUCACAUGGUGACACUUGUCACCCCAUUAAAUGCAUGAAUAUCCUUUUGUUCCCUCUCACUCUAAUCUAUAAGGUAUCCUCUAAUUAUCUCCUAGCACUCGAUAAUUUAAGCCCAGUAUCCAAAACUUAACCUAGUUGGCCGAAUUUUUCUGAACUUUUCGCCUUAGUGGGUCCCACGUCCGGUAUACGCUCUUAAUUUCUUAAAAACUAACCAAUACUAGAAAACUCACCUAAAAACUAUAUUUACUCAUAAAAAUUAUCUAGAAACUUUUUGAAUAAAGAAAAUGCAGAAAACAUGCCAGUAACCCGAAUAAAACCUAGAAAAUGGGAAAAAUUACGGGUUCUCACACUCUCUCCCCCUUAAAAGAAUUUCGCCCUCGAAAUUUCUCACCUUAACUCACGAAAAGUUCAGGAUAUUUCGUUUGCAUCUCUUCUUCCACUUCCACUUCUCAGAUAGCUUCUUCUAUCUCAUGAUUUCUCUACUUUUCCCGAGCGAAAACAACUGCGACUAACUCCAGAUCGUGGGUUGGACAGUUUUGUUCGUGGGGUUUCAAUUUCUUAGAGGCAAAAAAAUAUCACAUUCUGGUUUUGCGUCAACACACACCCCAAACCUUCCCUCCUACCCAAACGCGGCAAUCCUUACAAACCAUACCAGUGCUCAAACGAUGUUUCCCCAUAGGAGUACUACUUUCAGGUCGUAGGGUAGACGAACAGGUUUUGUAUCUAUUCCGUACAUAAAAUUGGGGUUGACAAAUGAAUGAGUAACACCGGGAUCUACUAAGAUUUUCGUAAAUCGGUGAAAUACCGAAAUCGUACCUUCCUCAAUUUCAGAAAAAUCGGGGACCUGUUGUGGCUCCAGUGAAUACACUCGAGCUGCUACCUUAGGUUUGGUCCCCUCCUCCUUGGCGGGUUUGGAAGUAGUCCUCGUCGAUUGCUGACUCCCCUUUCCAUCUCGUGAUAGGACUGGACAAGUAGCGAGUUGAUGAUUUGCACUUCCACAGCGCAAACAUUUUCCCUCCUUCUUCCAGCAAUUGUCCUCCGAGUGGUUUGACUUUCCGCAAUACCCGCAAGGUCCGCGUGUUGCCGAAGCCGAGCCUCCUCUCUGGCCUCUCCCCACUUGGACGCCUCGUGACGGGCCCUCUCGUGAUACUUCCGGCAUCCUUUCUCCUCCCGUUCCCCGUCCAAACUUGGAAGGGAUACUCUCAUCCCCCUGCCCCGAACUACUUCCAGGAAAUGCUCGCUUUUUCGCCUGGAAGUUUCUCACCUGUAGCCUAGCAUUCUCUACUCGUUGCGCCUUCUCCACUGCAUCGCUGAAAGCGUUAAUUUGGGCUACUGCGAGAUCCUUCUGGAUUUCUACGUUCAGGCCCUGAACAAAUCGCCGUAUUCUUCGUUGCUCGGUCAUAAUGAGUUCGGACGCAAAUUUGGAUAGGCGGGUGAAUUGGCUCUCGUACUCCGCUACAGAUUGGGCCCCCUGACAAAGCCGAAUAAAUUCAUCUUCCUUCCGCUCCUGAACUAGAGGAGGGAAGAAUUUAGCAUUGAAUUCCUGCAUAAAAUUCACCCAGGUCCUGGGCGUUUGUUCCCGCUCCCAUUUUUGCCGAAUUACGUUCCACCAGGAACGGGCCGCCCCUUCUAGUUGAAAGACGGCGAAAAUCACCUGCCUUUCUUCGGUGUAGUGCAGGGCAGCGAAAAUAUCUAUCAUUUUCUCCAGCCACCUUUCGGUGACAUCCGGGUCGGGCCCCCCAAUAAAUUUCGGUGGGGCAAACUUCUGGAAUCUUUCAAGUGCCCUGUCGUCGCUCUCGACGUGGUUGCCAGGGUUUCCAGGAUUAGGGUUUGGGUUUUGGCCCUAUUGGUGCACCACUUGGGCUAGUAAAUUAGUCAUUUGCUGCAUAGCAGCCGCUAUUUGGAUGUUAGGAUCAACCCUAGAUUCAGGGUCAGGGUUAGGUCCAGAUGAGAUUUCCCCAGUGCCCCUUUCAGGCGUGGGUUGCCUACCCCCGCGUCCACGGCCUCGACCACUACGAGUGCCUUCCAUCAAACUAAGUCGAUCUAGGUCACAAAAUAAAUAUACUGUUAAAGGGCACCUAACCCUCCUUUUCGUAGCACUAAACAGGAACAAUUAAACAAGGACAAUUAACUAAAACAACUACCUCGUAGAGCAUUUAAACACAUAACACAUAUACAUAGAACACAUAACCGGAUCAAGCAAUUAUACAGAACAGUCAGUCAAGUACAUACAAAGUUAUCCCAUGAAACAAAAGGGGUCCUCCAAAAGUACUAUAGACAGACUAGGUCACGAGUACAAAAGAACUCACGAAAAACUUUCCCCCCCUAGGGCUCCGUCCAUAAUCUACGAGAACAACACCAUUUAUAUCUUAAUCAAGGUUGAUCACGCUUAACCAUACCCGAACAAACCACACGAAAUUUCAUAGAAUCGUAUUUCUAGUUUGCCCAAUCCUUUCUAACCUAGGCUCUCAUCUCUUUCGUAUCCGGGCGCAAGAAUCCCAUCUAAGAUGAUUCACAACUCGAGCCGGCCUGUCCCAAGCGUAAAUCAUCCAUAUUAAAGAUUCCUACCCGACAUACAUACCUAACUUCCUGAAGUCCCAUGGUAAUGAUCCUUACACUUAUGACAUGCACAGUUCAUAGCUUACGCUCAAAAGAGCACUUAUACCUUUCAACGCAUUCACGAAAGCAGGACCAUAACACCACUUGGCCCAAACUCACUCCGCGCAGAGACCACGCGAAGUAGCUCUGAUACCACCUGUGACAGCCCCACCUUCCCCUAAGGCGAACCAAAGGGGUUAGCGGACUGCCUGCCUAGCUCUCGCCAGGACUAACGGUUCAGUUUAAAGCGAUCUAAUACGUUCCGGAACAUACAACAGCGCGUAAACAAGUCAAAAUGUCAAAAUAAAAAAAUGAAAUCGGAGUCGGCCAUGAAUAGUAAUCGACACGUCAAAAUCCAACCAAACAUCAAGCAAAUAUUUACAUGUUGAAAUUAAGCAUAUACAAUCCAAAGUGGCAUACAAAAGUUAUUCAAAAGUGGAUACAUGUAUGGUUUGCCAAAUCAAAAGAGAAACGGACCCAAAAGUACAUUUAGGGUUUCAAUCAAGGAGCUAUACAAAAGAUAUGUCCAUCUAGCUCAAUUCGGCAACCAACUAUCAAAUUCAGUCCAAAAAUAUUUAUUUUCCUGUAAGGAAAACAAAAGGGAAUAGAGUGAGCUUACGCCCAGUGAGAUAAUACCACUCAAGCAGCAAAGUUCACAUAAGCAUAAAGCUUUUCAUUCCAACUCAUCAAAAGUAAGCAAAGGCACACAUCAAUAGUGGUGAUAAAAGGAUACGGGCGGCUCUCAAGAGCCCUUUUCCUCGUUUGCAUUCUUGAUCGAACCUCAUUGACCCUCCGUCAAUGUUUAAGAGUAACCAACCGUAGGCUCCACUUUACUUCCAUUCCUUCCACCCAACAUACCCCUCCCGGGCCCGAACUCCAAACAGUAGAAAUUUGGUAAUACUCGAGUAUACCGGAAUCAAGAGUCUCACUACUACAAGAUUCCAUAUAACAGUCCCCAUGGCUCGUCAAUUUUCACGACCAAGCCCUCGCCGGCUCGAUCCAAUCGACUACCAAUGGGGUUGAGCUCAGUCGUAUCAGUAAUGGUCGUUGGAUACUCGUCCAAGCGACACCAAAUUCAUAAACCAAUUCAGUAUUUCAUGUAUCAUUCAAUCAUUACAGGAAAACAGUAGACAGUCAUAUGAGAUACCAAAUGGGUGAGGGCGAUCAAGUACACCCUCGCUUAAUUAAGUUCAACGGAGCAAAUAAGCCUUCAAGGCAUCAAGUUCACAUAUACCAAAGCCACAUUGUAAACAACAAGUGAGUGGUACACUCACCAAGCAAGCAAAUGAUAUUUCAUGCACUUCCGCCUAAGAGCGUCUUGCACCACCGUCACGGCCUAGAACAUUCAAAUAAGCAUAAUAAGACUCAAUUACAAGUCAUAACCAAUGCCAAAUACCACCAAAAUAAGGUUCCACUAGAAUGUAUAAGCACUAGAGUAAACCAGGAAAAUCCGGAAAUUGCAUUAAGCUCUAACCCAAAAAAAAUAGUUUUUGACAUCAGUUUGCGGUUUUGGCACCAUUGGCACUACGACUAUCGGAUGGAGGUGUAAGAUACACCGUUUCGAAGCUAAGAGAUAGGGCUACAAUGUUUAAGAAGGAUACUCUGUCCCGUUUCGAGUGUAACCAGGUCAAAAAUGCAAUAUACUACACCAGAACCGAAAAAAUAGGUUCACAAACCGCAUUCUGGUUCAAACAUCAUAAGUCAGGCUACCUAAGUCCAAAUCAAGUAAUUCCAAAGCCAUACGAAAGAUAAGAUACAUGGAUACAAUUCAUCAGAAGGCACCAACAACCAAAUAAGAAGCAUUCCCAACCAAAUUAACCAAUUACUGACGCAAUUAUCAAAUUCGGGUAGAACCAGGGUAGUAGGGGUAUUUCAGUCUUUUCUCAAGGUACGUUGCUCCGAUUGACCUGAAAUUUUGUAGGCGUCUCUAAAAUAUCAUUCCCUACAACUUUCAUGUUUUAACCCAAGGGCAAUUCGGCCUCUAACUAUGAGCUACAGUGCCGGGCAGAAUGUAAGAACAUGAAACCCUAACUUUCCAAAUUUCUUCCAAAACAGAAAUUUCCUGCAAUUAACCACUUUUUCCACCUUCUAGCUUCCUUAAAUAUCAUUUCCAAUCAUCAUACAUGAUCCCAUAAUAAUAAUCAUAUGAAAACAUAAAAAUCACCAAUAAUUAUAAAACUUCACAAAUUUCAUCCAAAAAUCACAAAUAACCACUAAAAUCAUCACUUAAGCUCACAUUAACCACUAAUUAAGCAUUAUUGAAGAGAGAAAAGGAGUUCCUCCACCACUCACCUUGCCAAGUCAAGAAAGAAGCAACUUAACACCUUAAGCUUCCAAACCACUUCACCACCAAGCUUAACUCCACCAAACUAAGAGGUUUUAUGGAGUAAUUGGAAGAUUAAUCGGUUUAAUUGAAGAUUGGGCAAGAUUGAAGACAAGAUUGUGGAGAGUUUUCUUUUCUUUUGUUGCUUGAAGAGGCCGGCCAAGAGAGGGAGAAAAAUGGUGAAUUUUUGGUGAAUUUUGAUAUUAAUUUGGUAAAGGCAUGAAUAGUGGUCAAAAUGGCAAGAUUUAAUCACAUGGUGACACUUGUCACCCCAUUAAAUGCAUGAAUAUCCUUUUGUUCCCUCUCACUCUAAUCCAUAAGGUAUCCUCUAAUUAUCUCCUAGCACCCGAUAAUUUAAGCCCAAUAUCCAAAACUUAACCUAGUUGGCCGAAUUUUUCCGAACUUUUCGCCUUAGUGGGUCCCACGUCCGGUAUACGCUCUUAAUUUCUUAAAAACUAACCAAUACUAGAAAACUCACCUAAAAACUAUAUUUACUCAUAAAAAUUAUCUAGAAACUUUUUGAAUAAAGAAAAUGCAGAAAACAUGCCAGUAACCCGAAUAAAACCUAGAAAAUGGGAAAAAUUUCGGGUUCUCACACCCUUCGCCGGGACCCCUCGCCGGCUCCGGGAUCGGUGUUCUCCAUGGUGCGCUUGGAACGCGUUCUCGCCAUCAACACAACUACACGUACCUUUCGUUUCCCGCAGACGGCGCCAACUGAAGAAGCGAUGAGCUUCCCCGGACCGAGCUGACCUGAUGAGCUCGGCGUGCUGAUGAGAAAAGCGUGUCCAAGCCCUGCAAAAUAAAUGAGAAGAGGUCUAGAGGAUGACUAGCAGGGGAGCCCCGAGGUUGUCCCCGGGAGCACUCCGACGGUCAAGUUAGUCUUCCGGUGAGUGGAAUCCACGAGAAGUAAAACAGUUGGGGGUAAUUUGCCUACGGUGAGCGUGCCUUGUGCAGUGGAUGUGCGUUACCAUUUAUACCUGCUGGUAAGUCCGACCUCCGUACGUUUCGGGACCUGCCCAGAAUAGUCUCAAUCCCGCGCCGAGGGGGAUCUUUCCGCCCUCUGCGGGAUUGUUCUCUGGAACCCCUCAGAGCCCUAGCGGCGGUGUGCCUCAGGACAGUGGCCAUGGGCCUGGGGUCCGAGCCCAGCUCUGGCCUUCCUGGGCUGCCACGUGUCUCGGCUCAGGACGGGGCCUCUGCAGUUUGAAUUGAUAAACGCAAACCCAGGAUCUCUGAUGCAUUUCCACAAUCCUGUGAUGCCAUCUUCCUAAGUAAUAGCCUUUUAAAUGUAGCUGGCAGAAAUGGACAUCUUGACAUGCAAACCAAAGGAAAACAAAACAAAAAGAAAAAAAAAACAAUUAAAAUGAAAAUAUAAAUCCACUUAAGAUAGUGAAAUUUAAGAAAGUAAACGUAAUAUUGAAAGUUAAUGAAUUUUUCUAACGGAUACUUAGUGGUCAAGUUAAUGCUCACUUAAUUUAUACCCAAUAUACCAUAUGAAUACACACCCAAAUUUAUUAUAACCCGUCAUUUAGAUUCUUUCCCUAAUUAACAACUAGGUUACCUAAUGAGUCACCCAGUAGUCAAACUCAUAAUUAACUAUGAAAAGAAAAUUUGAAAAGCUUUCAAUAGAUGGUAUUUGUUUAUGCAUAACACAAUUUUCGGAGAUUUUAAGUCCUUCUGGCCAUGGUAUCCUUUAGUUGCAUCCAGUGUUAGAUGAUGAAAUAUGUGGUCAGUUAAAACUGUUGACCUUGGUUGAUCAGUCCUUGGUUUUGAUGAUUAACAAACCAAAAUGUAGAUUUGGACUAAUGUUUUUAUGUGAGAAAUUUGUUAGAACAGGUCAUUGAUCCAAAAGAGAAUCGAAAAGAUUUGAAUCAAAGAGAAGUUAAGAAAUAUGAAGGUUCGGAUGUAGAGGAUCGGACGUCCGACAGACGACGAUACUCUUCGGACGCUUGGAUCGGACGCUCAUUCAUUACUUCGGCCGUCCGACACAAAAAGAAUGAAAGUUGAACAUUCUAACUUCUAUCGGACGCAGGGUUCGGACGCAGAACAAAUGGUUCGGACGUCCGAUAGGUGGUUCGGACGCAUGGUUCGGACGCAGAGCAAAUGGUUCGGACGUCCGACAGGCCAACGACUAGUUUCGACAGCAUUUAAUAUUUGACCGUUGGAGAGCCUUUUUGGAGCCAUUUCUCACCUUCUAUAAAUACCCCAAAACACAAGAAGACACAGACUUUUGCCAACACUAAAUACAAGCUUACAAGUGAGAUCUUUGAGUAGAAAUAUUCUUUGUUGGUUGUAUAAGGGGUUGGGAAAGUUGGGUUGUGAGGUUGCUCAAGUGAAGGUUACUCUCUAGGAGGAGUAAAACCUUGGUGAAGGUGAACCUAUCACUUGGAGUGGUAAAACCUUGAUAAAGGUUGCCUCACUUGUAUAAAGUAGUUCUUAAUUGAGUGGGUAAGCUUUCAAUUGUAGCUAGUUGAGGGUUUACUUGGAGAGUAAUAAAAUUCCUUUGCUCAACCAAAGUAUGUUUGGGGUGAGGAAGGAGUGAGCCUUCACUUGUACAAGUUGGUUAGCACUACCAUCAAUUGAAGAAGCUAUUUGGUGGAUUCAACUCCAAGUUUGGAAGAAGUUUGGGAGUUUGAUUGGUUUGAAUUUCUUUUACUUUAUUGUUACUCUAUUUUUGUGCUUUAAAAUUGCUUAUAUUCUUUGUCAUUGUAUUUACUUGACUACUUGUCUGGUUGAGUAUUUUGGUUGUAUUUGGUUGCAUCGGGGCUUACAAAAACUAUAACCGCUUAAUUUGCAAUCUACAUUCAGGUUUGUUAGGAUAUGAUACAUAUCAAUUUUGAAAUCUUUAGAAACCAAAAACUAAAUGUUUCUAGUUUCUGCCUGAAUUUCAAAUGGAGCAAAUAGUAUUAGGGUUCGUUUGAUAAAAUUGAAAUCUAAAAACUAAAUUUGAAAUCUAAAAUUUAAAGUUUAAAUUCAUUAAGUUAUUCAAUUGUUAAUUAUUAAAUUUGAUACAAUUGUGUGUAUAUCACAUUAAGUGAUAAGUGAAUAGAUUAUUAUUUAUUUUUGGAAACAAGUUUUGCCUAAAAAAUUCAUUACCACUUAAUUAAUUUAGAUAUUUAAUUUGUGGUUAUCAAACGCAUAUCAGCAUGUUAAGAUCUGAAACCAUUAAAUUUAAAAAUUGAACAUGGGACUCCAUGUUACUGUUCUGAUCUACUACAAUUUAAAAUUUUAAAUUUAUAGUGAAAUUUUACUUUUACGUUCUCACAUAUGAUUGGUUAAUUGAAAAGUUGUCUUCACUUAGAAAAUAGGUAAAACCCAAUUGAUCCAUUAAUUCUUUUUUUUCCUUUUUUUAUUAGAAAAUUUUCAUAAAAUUGCAUCAAUGGCAGAAAAGUAUAUCAAAUCAAACAUUACACAACAACAUACAUAUUUGACAAUUAGUAGAUAAAAAUGGAUCUAAAAAAUCAACACACAUAAAUAGAUAACAUUGAUGCUCCAAUAUAUCGAUGAUCCACUAAUUCUAUUCCAUUCAUUAGACAUGCUAAUUCUAUUCAAUUGCAUAUAUAUUAAUCUUUUUCUAACGAGAAAUGAUAGGAUUUAAAAAGUGAGGAGGGGAAAGGAAGGAUUUGAAAAACUCUAAAUUUUGGGAUUUCAACCAAACAUUAUACGAGUAUUGCAUAUAUAUGAGAAAAAAAAUCAGCGGCGAAAGUUUGAAAACAAAUUAUGCAUUAAAAUCCUAAUUCAUAAUUGUCAUUAAUCAUCACUGAUCAAGAUUAAGCAAAAGUAAUUUUUGGCAGACCAAAACUAUUAAUCAAAGGAUUUUUUUUAAUGAAUGCCCAAUGGACACUUAUUAACACACAUAAAAUUUACCUAAUUUACUAUGUAUAUAUAUAUACUAAUAAUUAUUACCUUAUCUUACAUUUAUGAACUUUUCAUAUUUAAUUUUACUUAUCCUCUGUUGUAUUUAUUUAUUUUAUCUAAUUAAUCUUACACUUAAAAAAUAUGAUAACUGAAAUACCCGGCCCAAUGGAUAUUUCAUUAGACAGACUCUUAAUCACAUAAUAUAAUAACUCUAAAUUUUAUCCAGAAAUAAAAAAUGAAAAACAAGAAUCAACUCUAAAUUUUAUCCCAAAAAAAUAAAUCAUUAUUUGUGCGUUUUAGUUAAUAUAUAAAAAUUCAAACCAUUAAAGUUUAACACGGGUUGGUUUGAUUCACCGGCGAGAUGAGAACGAGUCCAAAUUCUCUAGUACUUCUCAACAACUAUGGAUUAAUGGAAUAUUCCCAGAAUUACAUGUAAAUCCACGGCAACGAUUCUGCAGAAGGUCUCCAUCAUAGUGCUAUAUAAAUGUUUGAAUUGACUGCCAUCCUCAAACAGCCAAAACAAAAGUCAAGAAUAGGAGCUGCGAAAGGGAGGGAC